CUGGCUCACGAUGAACGCUGGCGGCGUGCCUAACACAUGCAAGUCGAACGAAGCACUUUACCGGAGAUUCGUCGAAGGUGAAUUUGACUUAGUGGCGGACGGGUGAGUAAUGUAUGAGCAACCUGCCUUUCAGUGGGGGACAACAGUUGGAAACGACUGCUAAUACCGCAUAAUGUAUCGAGGGGGCAUCCCCAUGAUACCAAAGGAUUUAUUCGCUGAAAGAUGGGCUCAUAUCUGAUUAGUUAGUUGGUGGGGUAACGGCUCACCAAGACUGCGAUCAGUAGCCGGACUGAGAGGUUGAACGGCCACAUUGGGACUGAGAUACGGCCCAGACUCCUACGGGAGGCAGCAGGUGGGGAAUAUUGGGCAAUGGGCGAAAGCCUCGACCCAGCAACGCCGCGUGAAGGAAGAAGGUCUUCGGAUUAGUAAACUUCUUUUAUGAGGGACGAAGGACGUGACGGUACCUCAUGAAUAAGCCACGGCUAACUACGUGCCAGCCGCCGC
This 504-nucleotide ribosomal RNA is filed under the name uncultured bacterium. RNAcentral's name for it is "bacterial SSU rRNA". It matches the Rfam family "Bacterial small subunit ribosomal RNA", at positions 19 to 518 of the family's 1533-position model. The record is from RNAcentral.